UGACGGUACCUGACUAAGAAGCUCCGGCUAAAUACGUGCCAGCAGCCGCGGUAAUACGUAUGGAGCAAGCGUUAUCCGGAUUUACUGGGUGUAAAGGGUGCGUAGGUGGCAUGGUAAGUCAGAUGUGAAAUACCGGGGCUCAACCCCGGAGCUGCAUUUGAAACUGCCAGGCUGGAGUACAGGAGAGGCAAGCGGAAUUCCUAGUGUAGCGGUGAAAUGCGUAGAUAUUAGGAGGAACACCAGUGGCGAAGGCGGCUUGCUGGACUGUUACUGACACUGAGGCACGAAAGCGUGGGGAGCAAACAGGAUUAGAUACCCUG
This 320-nucleotide ribosomal RNA is filed under the name uncultured bacterium. Its description in RNAcentral is "bacterial SSU rRNA". It matches the Rfam family "Bacterial small subunit ribosomal RNA", at positions 470 to 789 of the family's 1533-position model. The record is from RNAcentral.